CCUACGGGUGGCAGCAGUGAGGAAUAUUGCACAAUGGGGGCAACCCUGAUCCAGCCACGCCGCGUGAGUGAAGACUUCCUUCCUUAUUUUAAACUCUAUCAGCAGAGGAGUAAAGUACGGUACCUGAGUCUUAAUCCCCGUCUAAAUACGUGCCAGCAGCCGCGGUAAUACGUAGGGAGCAAGCGUUAUCCGGAUUUACUGGGUGUAAAGGGAGCGUAGACGGUAGUGCAAGUCUGUAGUGAAAGUGGUGGGUGCAACCGUAGAAUUGCUAUGGAAACUGGAAGGCUGGAGUUCAGGAGAGGUAAGUGGAAUUCGUAGUGUAGCGGUGAAAUGCGUAGAUAUCAGGAGGAACACCAGUGGCGAAGGCAGCUUACUGAACUGUAACUGACAUUGAGGCUCGAAAGCGUGGGGAGCAAACAGGAUUAGAUACCCGAGUAGUC
This 440-nucleotide ribosomal RNA is filed under the name uncultured bacterium. Its description in RNAcentral is "partial 16S ribosomal RNA". It matches the Rfam family "Bacterial small subunit ribosomal RNA", at positions 338 to 795 of the family's 1533-position model. The record is from RNAcentral.